Molecule: non-coding RNA, 411 nt
Organism: Paramuricea clavata
Lineage: Eukaryota; Metazoa; Cnidaria; Anthozoa; Malacalcyonacea; Plexauridae
Source: the annotation of a GenBank genome assembly
AUCCAAGUCCAAUUAAUAGUCCAUCAGCAGUCAAAACGCCACUUAAUAUGAAUAGACAUAAUGCAAGCCCAAUCGCCAGAAACGAUCAUGGUCCUACGAUAAAUACUGCCAACACAGACAAAACGAAGAAAGCUCUAGUGGCAUGCCCGUUUCUGAAAAGGCGGGGAUAUUGUUUAAAGGGACACAGAUGUGACUUCUUGCAUGACAAUGUCCUAGUGGAACACGCGGAAAGACAUCUCCACUGAAGCGUGGUGAAAGAUCUCCCCUCCUAACAUGCCACAAUGCAGUAAUAACCAAUUUCCCUUUCCUUUUCCGUACGACCCAAAUUAUUUCCCCCCGAUUCGUUUCCCAUGGUUUUUCCCCCUGUCUCAGCCGUUUCCGUGCCCUUAUGUACCUCCACAUAUGCCCCCA